UACGGAGGGAGCUAGCGUUGUUCGGAAUUACUGGGCGUAAAGCGCGCGUAGGCGGCUUUGUAAGUUAGAGGUGAAAGCCCGGAGCUCAACUCCGGAACUGCCUUUAAAACUGCAUCGCUUGAAUCCAGGAGAGGUGAGUGGAAUUCCGAGUGUAGAGGUGAAAUUCGUAGAUAUUCGCAAGAACACCAGUGGCGAAGGCGGCUCACUGGCCCGGAACUGACGCUGAGGUGCGAAAGCGUGGGGAGCAAACAGG
This 253-nucleotide ribosomal RNA is filed under the name uncultured bacterium. Its description in RNAcentral is "partial 16S ribosomal RNA". It matches the Rfam family "Bacterial small subunit ribosomal RNA", at positions 524 to 776 of the family's 1533-position model. The record is from RNAcentral.